GGUGCCAUAGCCAAGUGGUAAGGCAGUGGACUGCAACUCCAUGACCCCCGGUUCAACUCCGGGUGGCACCU
Molecule: transfer RNA, 71 nt
Filed under: Clostridiales bacterium
Lineage: Bacteria; Bacillati; Bacillota; Clostridia; Eubacteriales
Description: tRNA-Cys
Rfam family: tRNA
About the family: Transfer RNA (tRNA) molecules are approximately 80 nucleotides in length. Their secondary structure includes four short double-helical elements and three loops (D, anti-codon, and T loops).
Source: RNAcentral